This is a long non-coding RNA of Ahaetulla prasina, 724 nucleotides long. RefSeq lists it as uncharacterized. Lineage: Eukaryota; Metazoa; Chordata; Lepidosauria; Squamata; Colubridae. The transcript is spliced from 2 exons. The record is from RefSeq and is a predicted model, not a curated record.
GCUUGCGACAGCCUUACCACCUCCCCAACCCUUUUUAAGCCUAGAACUUCCUCCCUGAGCACCCAGCAUGGCCCAGAAACAUCAGAUCUUUCCCAGAAGAUGUUUUGGUAUAUCUGAGGAUGGCAGUCCCUCCAAGGCGAAUGAAUGCAGAGUCUUCCUGUAUGAUCAGCAGCUAUGAGCAAGCUUUGACUGCAAUGGAAACAUUUUGAUUCUGGAGAUGACAGGAUGGACAGCCUUGGUUUGAGUCUACGUGUUGUUAAUUUUUACCUAGGAAGGUGCAUCGUUUGAGCUUUACCUGUUUCUUCAUGGAGGUAUCUUAUUCUGAUUGGCCUUUAUUUUCUGCAAUGUCUGUCCCUAGUCUGGUCAGAAAAGGCUACCCAUGUAAGUCUGAGAAUAGUAGCAUCACCCAAUGCUGAUGGCCGUUCUGACAACAUUUGGUGGUCAUUUUGACAUUGGCUUGAUCUGCAUCCUCGUCCUUCUGUCUUUGAAUCAUUCAUUUUGUCCAAUGGCAACUCUGUAGGAAUGAAGUUGAGGAUCCUGCUUCCUGCUACCUAACAGGAGGUGCCAAGAAAUGAGCAGAGCUAAUCCUGUUCUAUGGAACCAGUGUGUAAAUACACACUGUUAAAUACCUAAACAUAUUUUUUUUUAAAAAAACCUUCAAGAAAAUAUAUUUUUAUUCCCGGUAAUCUACUUCUCCUCUUACGGGGAUUUUAAAAUGUGGAUG